Non-coding RNA from Bufo bufo (common toad), 871 nucleotides. The record is from the annotation of a RefSeq genome assembly. Lineage: Eukaryota; Metazoa; Chordata; Amphibia; Anura; Bufonidae.
UACACAACAUCAGAACGACCCAGAUCAGAGCCCUGUGAGGGUUGAACAUGAUGAGAGUUGUCAUGAGGACGUCUGCAGUCUUUACUAUUCUCAUCACAGGAGUCAUGGGACAGUACUCGGUACAUCAGGACCCGUAUAUUACUGUGACAGAGGGAGAAGAUGUGCAAAUAAACUGCAGCUACACUGGCACAGAGUACAGUCUGCAAUGGUACCAGAGUGUCAGCACCCACAAAAUUCAGUCACUUCUGCUCCAGAGAACUAACGGUUAUAAAUCUCUUGGGCGUUUUACAAUGUUUCUGGAUACCAAGGAGAAGUUCACCUAUCUCUACAUGAAGAAGUCACAAGUGGAAAACUCGGCAGUGUACUACUGUGCGAUGGAGGCACAGUGAUAAACUCCAGCAGGGGCACAGUAUAAUAAGCUGUCAGCUCUGGAACACAUCAUCACAUAUCACUGGUGUUGUUCAGUUUUAUCCUAAUGCAUUCUGAAUGGAAAGCAUUCCGUUCAGUAUGCAUCAGUAUUUCUUCAUUUUAGUCCCUCUUAUGGUAUUUGGCCAAAAUUCCGGAACACUUUCCAUUGAAAUGUAUUAAUGCCGGAUCCGAUACCAAGUGUUUCGGAAAACCAGAUCCUGUUUCCUGGUCUGCGCAUGCGCAGACCUUUAAAUCUGUGGGGGGAAAAAACACCGGAGAGACGGAUCUGGUAUUUCAAAUGCAUUUGUCAGAUGGAUGCGCAUGUGGAAACAAAUGCUAUCCAUUUGCAUACAGAUUAUAGUAAAUUUAUUAAUGCACGUUUAUGCAUUAAUUCCCCCAGGUCGAAAAGAUAGACAUUUAAGAAUCAAAGAGUGACAAAAAGAGACUUGGGUAAAAAAGAGGG